Molecule: ribosomal RNA, 813 nt
Filed under: Aneurinibacillus sp.
Lineage: Bacteria; Bacillati; Bacillota; Bacilli; Caryophanales; Paenibacillaceae
Description: bacterial SSU rRNA
Rfam family: Bacterial small subunit ribosomal RNA
Source: RNAcentral
CGAACCGAUGGAGUGCUUGCAUUCCUGAGGUUAGCGGCGGACGGGUGAGUAACACGUAGGCAACCUGCCUGUACGACCGGGAUAACUCCGGGAAACCGGAGCUAAUACCGGAUAGGAUGCCGAACCGCAUGGUUCGGCAUGGAAAGGCCUUUGAGCCGCGUACAGAUGGGCCUGCGGCGCAUUAGCUAGUUGGUGGGGUAACGGCCUACCAAGGCGACGAUGCGUAGCCGACCUGAGAGGGUGAACGGCCACACUGGGACUGAGACACGGCCCAGACUCCUACGGGAGGCAGCAGUAGGGAAUCUUCCGCAAUGGACGAAAGUCUGACGGAGCAACGCCGCGUGAGUGAGGAAGGUCUUCGGAUCGUAAAACUCUGUUGUCAGGGAAGAACCGCCGGGAUGACCUCCCGGUCUGACGGUACCUGACGAGAAAGCCCCGGCUAACUACGUGCCAGCAGCCGCGGUAAUACGUAGGGGGCAAGCGUUGUCCGGAAUUAUUGGGCGUAAAGCGCGCGCAGGCGGCUUCUUAAGUCAGGUGUGAAAGCCCACGGCUCAACCGUGGAGGGCCAUCUGAAACUGGGGAGCUUGAGUGCAGGAGAGGAGAGCGGAAUUCCACGUGUAGCGGUGAAAUGCGUAGAGAUGUGGAGGAACACCAGUGGCGAAGGCGGCUCUCUGGCCUGUAACUGACGCUGAGGCGCGAAAGCGUGGGGAGCAAACAGGAUUAGAUACCCUGGUAGUCCACGCCGUAAACGAUGAGUGCUAGGUGUUGGGGAGUCCACCUCCUCAGUGCCGCAGCUAACGCAAUAAGCACUCC